CAGAACGUCGUGAGACAGUUCGGUCUCUAUCCGUCGCGGGCGCAGGAGGUUGUGAAGGGGAGCUGUCCCUAGUACGAGAGGACCGGGAUGGACGGACCUACGGUGUACCGGUUGUCAAGAGUUGGCACCGCCGGGUAGCUGAGUCCGGAGUGGAUAACCGCUGAAAGCAUCUAAGCGGGAAGCCCACCCCAGGAUGAGACCUCCCUAUCAGGCCCCGGGUAGAUUACCCGGUGGAUAGGCCGCAGGUGUACGCGUGGCAACACGUUGAGCCGUAGCGGUACUAACGGCCGAUCGGCUUGCCCGCUCCAUUU
This 311-nucleotide ribosomal RNA is filed under the name Chloroflexia bacterium. Its description in RNAcentral is "partial 23S ribosomal RNA". It matches the Rfam family "Bacterial large subunit ribosomal RNA", at positions 2612 to 2925 of the family's 2925-position model. Lineage: Bacteria; Bacillati; Chloroflexota; Chloroflexia. The record is from RNAcentral.